CCUACGGGUGGCUGCAGUAGGGAAUAUUGCUCAAUGGGGGAAACCCUGAAGCAGCAACGCCGCGUGGAGGAUGACGGUUUUAUGAUUUUAAACUCCUUUUUGUAGGGAAGAUAAUGACGGUAUCCCCCUAAUACUCACCGGCUAACUCCGUUCCAGCAGCCGCGGUAAUACGGAGGGUGCAAGCGUUACUCGGAAUCACUGGGCGUAAAGGGUGCGCAGGCGGGCGUGUAAGUCAGAUGUGAAAUCCUGUAGCUUAACUACAGAACUGCAUUUGAAACUAUGAGUCUAGAGUGUGGGAGAGGUAGGUGGAAUGCUUGGUGUAGGGGUAAAAUCCGUAGAUAUCAAGAGGAAUACUCAUUGCGAAGGCGACCUACUGGAACAUUACUGACGCUCAUGCACGAAAGCGUGGGGAACAAACAGGAUUAGAUACCCUUGUAGUC
RNAcentral lists this ribosomal RNA (440 nucleotides) under uncultured bacterium. RNAcentral describes it as "partial 16S ribosomal RNA". It matches the Rfam family "Bacterial small subunit ribosomal RNA", at positions 338 to 795 of the family's 1533-position model. The record is from RNAcentral.